UAAUACGGAGGGUGCAAGCGUUGUUCGGAAUCACUGGGCGUAAAGCGCGUGUAGGCGGCUAUCUAAGUCUGAUGUGAAAGCCCUGGGCUCAACUCAGGAAGUGCAUUGGAUACUGGAUAGCUGGAGUACCGGAGAGGAGGGUGGAAUUCCUGGUGUAGCGGUGAAAUGCGUAGAUAUCAGGAGGAACACCGGUGGCGAAGGCGUCCCUCUGGCCGGAUACUGACGCUGAGACGCGAAAGCGUGGGGAGCAAACAGGAUUAGAUACCCUGGUAGUCCACGCCAUAAACGAUGGGUACUAGGUGUUCGGGGUAUUGACCCCCUGAGUGCCGCAGCUAACGCAUUAAGUACCCCGCCUGGGGAAUACGGCCGCAAGGUUA
Molecule: ribosomal RNA, 377 nt
Filed under: uncultured bacterium
Lineage: Bacteria
Description: bacterial SSU rRNA
Rfam family: Bacterial small subunit ribosomal RNA
Source: RNAcentral